RNAcentral lists this ribosomal RNA (335 nucleotides) under uncultured bacterium. RNAcentral's name for it is "partial 16S ribosomal RNA". It matches the Rfam family "Bacterial small subunit ribosomal RNA", at positions 338 to 690 of the family's 1533-position model. The record is from RNAcentral.
CCUACGGGAGGCAGCAGUGGGGAAUAUUGCACAAUGGGGGAAACCCUGAUGCAGCGACGCCGCGUGAGUGAAGAAGUAUUUCGGUACGUAAAGCUCUAUCAGCAGGGAAGAAAAUGACGGUACCUGACUAAGAAGCCCCGGCUAACUACGUGCCAGCAGCCGCGGUAAUACGUAGGGGGCAAGCGUUAUCCGGAUUUACUGGGUGUAAAGGGGGCGCAGACGGCAAUGCAAGCCAGGAGUGAAAGCCCGGGGCCCAACCCCGGGACUGCUCUUGGAACUGCAGGGCUGGAGUACAGGAGGGGCAGGAGGAAGUGCGAGGUGAGCGGUGAAAGGCG